AUUGAACGCUGGCGGCAGGCCUAACACAUGCAAGUCGAGCGGUAACAGAGAGGUGCUUGCACCUUUGCUGACGAGCGGCGGACGGGUGAGUAAUGCUUGGGAACAUGCCUUAUGGGUGGGGGACAACAGUUGGAAACGACUGCUAAUACCGCAUACGACCUACGGGUGAAAGGGGGCCUCUUCUUGAAAGCUCUCGCGACUAGAUGAGCCCAAGUGGGAUUAGCUUGUUGGUGAGGUAAGAGCUCACCAAGGCGACGAUCCCUAGCUGGUCUGAGAGGAUGAUCAGCCACACUGGAGCUGAGACACGGUCCAG
Molecule: ribosomal RNA, 313 nt
Filed under: uncultured bacterium
Lineage: Bacteria
Description: bacterial SSU rRNA
Rfam family: Bacterial small subunit ribosomal RNA
Source: RNAcentral